AUGCUCUUAGAGGGGAGUACCGUCUUCAUGUAUCGUUCCAAUUUUAUUCAAUAUCCCGAAAGGGACACGGCAAGCGCCGCAUUGGACCCAGCUAGUUUUAAACAUGAAGGAAAUCUGCUGAUGUGGCAUGUUUGUUCCGUCCAAAAAUCACAACAUAGGGCACAUGCACAAUCCAUGCCACAUGCCGGGAAAGCAAAAGAAAUAGAUCAAAUCAUUGAGGAAACCAAUGAGAGAAACAACACAAGCAAGCAGAUGCAAAAUCAAAACAAAAUCGCAAGCAACACAAUAAGAAAGAAAAAAUAA
Molecule: ribosomal RNA, 303 nt
Filed under: Triticum aestivum (bread wheat)
Lineage: Eukaryota; Viridiplantae; Streptophyta; Magnoliopsida; Poales; Poaceae
Description: partial small subunit ribosomal RNA
Source: RNAcentral